RNAcentral lists this ribosomal RNA (624 nucleotides) under Wickerhamomyces myanmarensis. RNAcentral's name for it is "LSU rRNA". It matches the Rfam family "Eukaryotic large subunit ribosomal RNA", at positions 172 to 813 of the family's 3401-position model. Lineage: Eukaryota; Fungi; Ascomycota; Saccharomycetes; Phaffomycetales; Wickerhamomycetaceae. The record is from RNAcentral.
GGCUCUUGUCUAUGUUCCUUGGAACAGGACGUCAUAGAGGGUGAGAAUCCCGUCUGAUGAGAUGCCCAUUCCUAUGUAAGGUGCUAUCGAAGAGUCGAGUUGUUUGGGAAUGCAGCUCUAAGUGGGUGGUAAAUUCCAUCUAAAGCUAAAUAUUGGCGAGAGACCGAUAGCGAACAAGUACAGUGAUGGAAAGAUGAAAAGAACUUUGAAAAGAGAGUGAAAAAGUACGUGAAAUUGUUGAAAGGGAAGGGCAUUAGAUCAGACUUGGUGUUUUACGAUUAUCUUCUCUUCUUGAGUUGUGCACUCGUAUUUCACUGGGCCAGCAUCGAUUCGGAUGGCAAGAUAAUAGCAGUUGAAUGUGGCUUCACUUCGGUGGAGUGUUAUAGCUUCUGUUGAUAUUGCCUGUCUGGAUCGAGGGCUGCGUCUUUUGACUAGGAUGCUGGCGUAAUGAUCUAAUGCCGCCCGUCUUGAAACACGGACCAAGGAGUCUAACGUCUAUGCGAGUGUUUGGGUGUAAAACCCGUACGCGUAAUGAAAGUGAACGUAGGUGAGAGCUCUUUAGAGUGCAUCAUCGACCGAUCCUGAUGUUUUCGGAUGGAUUUGAGUAAGAGCAUAGCUGUUGGG